RNAcentral lists this ribosomal RNA (253 nucleotides) under uncultured bacterium. RNAcentral describes it as "partial 16S ribosomal RNA". It matches the Rfam family "Bacterial small subunit ribosomal RNA", at positions 524 to 776 of the family's 1533-position model. The record is from RNAcentral.
UACGUAGGGUGCAAGCGUUAAUCGGAAUUACUGGGCGUAAAGCGUGCGCAGGCGGUGAUGUAAGACAGGUGUGAAAUCCCCGGGCUUAACCUGGGAACUGCAUUUGUGACUGCAUCGCUGGAGUGCGGCAGGGGGGGAUGGAAUUCCGCGUGUAGCAGUGAAAUGCGUAGAUAUGCGGAGGAACACCGAUGGCGAAGGCAAUCCCCUGGGCCUGCACUGACGCUCAUGCACGAAAGCGUGGGGAGCAAACAGG